Molecule: long non-coding RNA, 1228 nt
Organism: Cucumis melo (muskmelon)
Lineage: Eukaryota; Viridiplantae; Streptophyta; Magnoliopsida; Cucurbitales; Cucurbitaceae
Exons: 5
Source: RefSeq, a predicted model, not a curated record
UUGACAAAAGUGAAGGUUAGUAUGAAUUUGAUUCCUAUAGUUCUCAAUUUCUCGGAUGCAAUAUAUUAAUAUGAUCAUAUUUUUUUUCACUGUAUAUUGUAAAAUGGCACUUCUUGUCGACUUGCGAUUGGGACCAAGGACAAUGUCAUCGGUGUUGGAACUAUUUUCGACUACGACAUGGAUGAUGACAACGUGAAGGUAUCAGUGGACAUGGUUUUCGAUGGUAAUUGUUUCGUCCCUAUUCCAACAAGGGAAGGUAGAAUUAUGCUUUCCCAAGAAGUCGGUUCACAAUUGUUAUGGCCUCGUCAUUUGGUCAUUCCUCUAGACGAGAAGAUGAAAAGCGUGUACCAAGCUGAUCCGCGAUUACCGUAGUUGACACUGAAUACAAAGAGAGCAUCAGUUACACUACGAUUGUUGCUAUGGGAACUUGAUUUUAUUGGGUCGAAGAUUCAAAUUCACGUACCUGCUAAAGUUUUUGGGUAUCAACGAAAAUGUUGCAUAUUCCUUUAGGCACUCCAAGAAUUUUGUCAAAUGAAGCCUAUAUCAAUCCAAUGCAUUGAUGCAUUCAUGUUCCACCUCUACAAAGUGAUGGAAGAGAAAGGAACGUUGGGAUCCUACAAGUUUGCAAACGCUGACUCUGUUUCAGUUGAUAUAAGUAAAGAAGAUCGAGCAUAGGUCCUGAAGCUAGAUUGCUUGGGACCGACCAUCGUCUGAUUUUGAUGUUUCUAUACAAUUUAGGAAACCAUUGGUGUCUAGUUGCCAUCGAUUUCACAAGGGGCACUACAUAUUGGAUGGAUCCUUUGAGAAACCGAAUUAACAAUGAUGCCUCUGAUGUCGUCCAGAUGGCUUUCGACAUUUCGAGUAGGAAGAAGCCUGUUUGGAAGAUAAUCAAGGUAUGAGGGGUAGGGAUUUAGUAGAAGAAAGAGGUAAAUAUGCUUUAUGUUUUGCAACUGUAACAUAGGUAUUUUGUUAUUCUUUUUCUCUGAUGGAUAGUGUUCAAAGAAAGGUGGCAUUGUGGAGUGCGGGUAUUAUGUCAUGCGAUUCAUGUGUGAUAUAAUAUUAUCAAGCAACAGGACAAUCAUUGAAGUAUUAAGUAUUUCAUUUUACCUUUUUGAACUACUUAUGUUAUUUACAACUGUUGCAUAUUAAAUCAUUUUUAAAUGAUGAAUAGAUGGAAGGAUCAACCUCGACAUACUCACAGGAUGAUUUAGAUGUCGUAAGAACAGAG